RNAcentral lists this long non-coding RNA (7658 nucleotides) under Nicotiana benthamiana. RNAcentral describes it as "long non-coding RNA (NBEN_LNC016485)". Lineage: Eukaryota; Viridiplantae; Streptophyta; Magnoliopsida; Solanales; Solanaceae. The record is from RNAcentral.
AAUAAUAAAUGAAAAAAAAAAAAGAAUUAAGAUUUAAUUGUAAUAAAAUUUUAAUUUAAGUAAUUGGGCCAUUUUUAAAACCAAAACAAACUCAAACCAUAAUUUUACUACGCAAACUCAAGUAACUCAAGCUCAUACCCUAACUCAAUCACUACCCUAUAUAAUACUAUCACCACAAACACACAAAACAUACACUCUAAUACACAUCAGCGCCGUAACCGCCCAAAAGACUGGACUCCCAUUUUCUCCAAGACAAAUAGCAUCAGAAGACUCCCCCUCCCAUUGGUUCCAACGCUCCCCUCUAUCCAUUUUUCCAAAUACAGACCCUUUCCACCCAAAACCCAGUCAAAACAAAAACCAUCAACAUCAACCCAAAAUAUUCACAAAAUAGAAAAUCAAUUCAUAUAACCUCAGCUUUGUAUGAAAUGUAUUUUUAGACUGGUAUUUUAAUUUUUUGGCGAGGUUGUCGUUGAGGUUUUGGCAGUUACCUUGAGUUUUGCCGUGUUCACAGUCAUUUAGAAGCUUUUGCAGACAUUGUAAAAGUUCUGGAGAACAUUUCUCAAAAACAAAGGUUCUUUUCUUGCUUUAAUAAUUAUGUCUUUUACUAAUAAUUUUAUUUUGUUUGAAUUAUUGCCGAGUAUUUGUUGGAAAUAAAUGUUGCCAAUUAAUAUUUGAUUUCUGUAUGGAAUUUCAAGUGAUUAAGAAGCCAUUUGCUUGCUUAAGGAUUGACGUCUCUGGUUGGCCUUUAAUUGGAUAGUUAAAUGUUGCUAAUUAAACAUUGAAUUUGAUUUAUACCCACCUCGCGACUUUCAUCUACUGCGCCCAUAGAAUUUCUAAGUUUCUGAUUUUGCCUUCACUGAUAUAUUCGUGUUGGGUUGACAGUGCAUUCCAAUCUUUCUCUAUAAGUUGACUUCUUAUUUGGGUAAAAUUAUUUUGUUCUCAACUUUGCUUACAGUGCAUCUUAAUAAUAGUUUUAUUUUGUUCUCAACUUUGUCUUCAAUGAUAUGGAUUUAUGUUAAGUGAUGUGCUAACUCAAAAUUAAAUUAAGGUUUAAAUUUCCUAUGUGUUAAAAUAAUCAAUUUUUAACUUAUAUGAUGUAUGAGUUUAUUUUAUAUUUCGAGUCUUACCUAGUGGGGGCGUUAGAUGAAUCUUAUUGCCUAGUACAUGGGUUUUGAAGAAUUGAAUAAAGUUGACCCAUUUUCUUGUAUCUUAAUCCUUCUAGCUUAAUCUUACGCUCUAUCCACAAUAAUUUCCAUAAGCACAUGUUCAUUUAAUUAAUUCUAACUCUUUAGAAAUCGUGGUGUACCAUUAGUUAAAUUUUUCAUGGCCCUCGCAAACUUGGAAAUGCGUAAUUGCUUUUGGCGUGUAAUUCAAAUUAAUUUUCUUAAACUCGGGAGCGCAUUUAUGUGACCCAAAUCAAAAUCUCAAUGGUGUUAAAGUAUGUCAAAAAUCACGGGUGCAUUUAUAUGACGUGAUUCGAGACACAUUUUUAAUACUGUUUCAAUCUUCCUCAAAAAUCAAAUAAAAGCAGUGAAUAUUUAAAAUUGCACUAUAGGAUGAACAUGUGUAAAAAUCACAAUUUUCAGCCAUUUACAAUAGUUUAAGCGACCGCGCUAGAACCACGGGAUCUGAGGGUGUCUAACACCUUUCCUCGGGUCAGCAGAAUUCCUUACCUAGAAUUUCUGGUUCGCAGACUCCACUUGGAUAGUCAAAAAAUAUUUCCUCGAUUUGGGAUUCAAAACAAACCGGUGACUUGGGACACCAAAAGACAAGCCUAUCAUAAGUGGCGACUCUAAUAAUUAAAUAAUCUCAUUUCGAAUAAUAUCACUUUAAUGGAAAAAAUUCCUUUAUGUGUUCUUAUCCUUCGAGGUAGUCGUGUAAAAAAAGGGGGUGUGGCACUCCAAGAAAAUUGUCUACAAAAACAACGCCAAAGAAAGUGAUUACACCCUUUACUCUGUUAAUGGAAAAGGCCAAGCUGAGAAAUUUUCUUCAUUUCUUCAGCUUCAAACAACGUCAAAUCAGAGCCAAAGCCUGCAUUUGAUGACACAUGAAUCAUGUUGCAGUAAAGCAGUAGACUUGCAAAGUGCAUAAAAGAAAGCAUUUUCACGAGUCCAAAACCUAAAUUUUGUACUAUUGGACUCAAAAUAUGUUUUUACUGUCUAAAAAAAUUAUUUUUCUAGAUAUAAUAUGAUAUUACACCCCGUUAUUUAUUAAUAUUAUUUCCACCGUUAAACUAUAGUGCGAUGUAAAUAUAUAGCACGGUGUACCACGUUAUACAUUCUAAUUAAAAACCCCUUCUUCUUCCUCUAACGACAGAAACACGCCCCUUCCCCAAUUUUUUUAAAAAUAGAACCAGCGAUCCCCCCUNNNNNNNNNNNNNNNNNNNNNNNNNNNNNNNNNNNNNNNNNNNNNNNNNNNNNNNNNNNNNNNNNNNNNNNNNNNNNNNNNNNNNNNNNNNNNNNNNNNNNNNNNNNNNNNNNNNNNNNNNNNNNNNNNNNNNNNNNNNNNNNNNNNNNNNNNNNNNNNNNNNNNNNNNNNNNNNNNNNNNNNNNNNNNNNNNNNNNNNNNNNNNNNNNNNNNNNNNNNNNNNNNNNNNNNNNNNNNNNNNNNNNNNNNNNNNNNNNNNNNNNNNNNNNNNNNNNNNNNNNNNNNNNNNNNNNNNNNNNNNNNNNNNNNNNNNNNNNNNNNNNNNNNNNNNNNNNNNNNNNNNNNNNNNNNNNCCUUUUUCUCCCAAACAAAAACGAGUGAACCCAUCCGUCACACAAAUAGAUAAGAUUUUGUGAUUUCUUCGUUUCUGGCUCAAAAUUUAAAUUUAUCAACUUUUCUAGAAACAUAAAUCAAGAUAUUUUUAUUUAGUUUAUGUCAAAACUAGUGUAAUAAUGUAUAUUUGUUGUCUUGAAUGUAUUUUCAUGUUGCUUUGUGUUCUGUUUGCGAUUAAACUAGUAUGUUAUUUUUAUCCGGAUUAAGAUAUAAGUGUUUUAAAAAAAUAUUUAAAAGUUUAAAAUUAUUUUUUGUUAAUAAAAAUGUCCAUAAAUUUUGUUUACUAUUUUAUAUGUAUUUCGUGAAUGUUUAUUAAAAUAUAUUUGUUAUUUUUAUUUAGUUUAGAUUAUUUAUUUGGUUAAAGACUAGUGACCUUUUAGCGUAGUGAAGUGUAGAGCCUUUUUAGCAUAGUAAAAUGUAGAGUAUUUUAGCAUAAAAUAAAUAUAGUUUAAAUAUCUAUUAUAUUGGUAGAUCAAACACAAACUCUGUCCAAUUAUAAUUUAUUAAAUUAAUUAUUUAAUUUAUAAAAAAAACACAAAAUUAUGAACAAUAUUAAAAUUGACACACACAAGAAUUCAGGAUAACUUGAUGUUACUGGGUCUCAAAUAUCAAGGUUGGAACUCAUAGGUAUAUACUCUAUCCAAGGAUAAUUUAUAAAAAUUAAUUAUUUAAUUUAUAAAACAAAAUAAAACUAUGAAAAUAUUAAAACUGACACAUAUAAGAAUUCAUGAUAGUGUGAUGCUACUGGACCUCAAAUAUCGAGCUUGGAACCUACAGGUAUAUACUCUAUCCAAUUAAUAAAAUAAAUUAUUUAAUUUAUAAAAUAAACACACAAAAUAUAAAAAUAAUAAAAUUGGAACAUAUAAGAAUUCAGGAUAGCUUGGUGCUACUAGGCCUCAAAUAUCGAGUUUGGAACCCAUAGAUAUAUACCAACAAGACAACACACAAAAUGUAGUAUUCAACCGCGCUAUAUAUAUUAACUUUUUUCUGAAACGAAACAGCUUUUUCGCAGUCGGUCAGCUUUUCAGACCGAAAAAAUAACACACAAAACGUAGUAUUCAACUGCGCUAUAUAUAUUCACACAAAACAUAGUAUUUAACUACAAAAGGAGACGGAUAUCCUGUUUGUACUAAUCAAUUUUUUACUUGGUACUAGGAUGUGUUUGUCUUAAUUUAUCCUUUUAUUACUCUUUAUUUUUAUGUAUGUUGAUUUAGUUAUGAUUGUCGUGCUUUUUUCUCUUGAAGUAUUAUGUUAUAAAAUUUCAGUCUUCAUACUGAUCUUCUUUACUAACACCAAUAAGUUGAAUGUUGGAACUAUCAUAUCAUCAUCCCAAUUCAAAAGGCCAUGUUCAAAUAUCUUCAAAUCAUACUUAACAAACAAAAUUUUACUUGAUACAUCUUGCAACAUAAACAAAACAGCUACUUAUUAUACAAGAUUAUAUUGUUUGAUAGAUGUCUGUGGAAUAUAAUUUUAUUUGAUACAUUUUGCAACAUAAACAUGCAUAGACACUUAUUACAAUAAAUAUUACGAAAACAAAACACUGAGUGUAUCCUUGAGACUUGGGUAUGUGAGCAUGUGAUUUUUACCCCGUUGAGACGACUCAUACAGGAUUCUCAAGUUUAGGAUUUUUCCUCUUUAAUAUUUAUUUUCAGGAUUUAAUUGCGCAUAUCAGUGUGUUUUCAUUAAUGCAUGCAUAAAAACCAUAUACAAAAUAUACAAAAUUGCACAAGCAUUUAGGAUUUAAUUUCACAUGGUUUUGCAAAUUAAUUGGUAAUUAAGAUUUAUUUUGCAAAAUAUAAAAUUGCAAAAAAAAUCAAGUACUUAUUCUGGCAUUUUAAUUGUUUAGCAUUUUAUGGUUAAUUUCCAUUCUUGCAUUUUUAGGUAGUUAUUAGUUUGAUUUUUCUUAAUUAGGAUUUUUAAAAAAUAAUUAGGAAAUAAAAUAAACAAGAAAACAAAACAAAGUGAGAUUUUUAAUAAAUUACCCAGGCUUGCUACAAUUGGGCCAAACUUGGGUUGCCCAAAGCCUUUUACCCGUCCAAAUGCCCCAUACCCUGCCCAUUAACUUGUCCCUGACCCAGUCCAUACAAGAGAUGCCCCAAAAUAACAUCGUUUUGGGGCAAUUCAUUUCAGCCAUUGAUCAUAAACAAUCCAACGGCCCUGAAGCCCUUCCCUAAAUCACAUAAAUAUGUCCAAACACCAUUGCAUAUUCAGAGACCAAACCACUUCCUUCCUUCGUAUCUAUAAUGUCGGUGUAUCACCCACCCCAUCGCCACCUCUCCACCGCCGUCUACCACAAUUCAACCACCUUAACGUCACCGUCGUAAAACGCCUCACAGCGGCGGCAGGUCACCAAACAGCCUCAGAAUUACACCACUAGACCAUCUCAAACCCCUCUUUCCCUUCCCACCAUUGCUUUCCUUCAAGCACCUCCCCAACUCGUCAAAUAUUCGACGGAAGAAUCACCAGUUCCACCGUCUCCGGUGACACUAACCCUAAAUCAACCCAAAAUAACACCCCUGAACCACCUCCCCCCCCCCCCUCCCAACCAUCUAAAACCCGUCGUUCGAAUCCUAACAGAUCGUCUCAAAUAUCAAAUGAAAGCCUAAGCUCAAACCCUAAACUCAACGGAAUCCCUUGAAAUUGGUCCUUGCAGACCGUCUCACCGUCCCAUCCACGACCUUUCAACCCACGACCCUCGAAUGCAACUAGACCCAACCAAAAUCGAGUCUGAAACCCCCUGUCUCAAAACCAUUUGACCCUCCCUUGAAACCCUUUUCCCCCUCUCCAAUAUGCAAGGCAAAGGCCUUAGAAGGCCAAAAGACCUCUCACAAGAGGUCAAAAAUCUGGAGAUUAGAAGAAAACCUAUUCUAGGGUUGCAACGCUAAAAAACAAAAGCUAAAACCUAUUUUAGGGUUGCAACGCUAAAAAACAAAAGCUAAGUCCCUGUGUGCUUGAUUUUUGUGUGUGUGCCUUCUUGUUCUAAUUGACUUUAUUUUUCUUUGAUUUUCUUUUGUUUGAGUUCAUCUGUUCAUCCUUGAAAUCAUAUGUCUUGUCUUGCUUUUUGAUUUUCUUUCUUGUUACUCGUUCUCUAUCUCUUCAUCUUCAAGACAUUCUAGAUAGUUGUUUCCAUCUAGAGUUACAUGUUCCUGAUUUUUCAUUUGUUCGUCUGUGAAAAUUCUGAAUAGUUAUUUUAUGCUCAUCCUUGUUAUCUUCUGUUGAUCUUCUAUUCUUAUUUUUCUUUAAGUAUAUUAUAGUUGAAAUUCUGAGUAGGCGUCUCCAUCUAAAAUCAUAUACUCGUCCUAGUUCUCUUGUCUAAUUACUCUUGAUUUUCUUUAUUUACAUUUAUUAGAUAUUCUAUGUCUCCUUAUUCUGAGUGUUUAAUUCCCGUUAUUCAUCUUUUAACUACCUUAAAUGUAUUCUUCCUUAUAAUGGCUUUUAGUUUUCUGCUGAGUGUUUUAAUUUGGUCAUCCUUAUGAUUCAUGUAUAGUUCUUUAGAUCCUCUUCUAAUCGUUUUGGCUCUUUUUCCCAUUUGCUUCUAAGUUUCAUUGAUAAAUACAUGCAUGUCCAAUUACUCAUCUGUUAGGUUUUUUGGUUAGUGAUUCCUUUCCCACCAUAUGUCUUGGUUUAAGAUUGAAUGUCAUGCUUCUAAAUACUUCAUGAGUGUCCCUAAAUAAGCAUGCUCUGAUUUUUCAUUUUUUUUGUCCCAAAAUCGAUUGGUAUCCAUGUGAUUCUGAUGGUUGUGAUAAUUGGUUCCAUCUUUGUUGCUGAGUAAUGUAAAGCCCACAUUAAGAUAUUUGCUAUAAUCCAUGAGUUGCAUUGAUUAAAUUUAACUCUUUGAUUGUUCGUUUCUGCAUAAUUUGCUCUGCAAUUCAGACUUUGAUUUUGGUCUAUAACCUGAAGUAACUAACUAGGGUAAAUUUUGACCAUAUAGAUGAGAACCAAGGUUUAAAACCCUUAGGCCGUUAAUUAGGAAAAGGGACAGGGAUAUUAAGGGCAUUUGAAUAUAGGGAAUCUUGUAACAAACUCCUAGAACAUUCUAGUAAAGGUCCAAAGCGCAAUUUCUGCCUCAAAACUUGAGGCGCAAGUCAGAAAAUCAAGGACUAUUUAGGCAAAACUGAAAAAUGGAUAAAGGACUAAAAGUAAAACAAAGAGAUUUAUGUUGCCCUAAGGCUUCAGUUAUAAAAGGGGACAAUCUAGUCAUUUCAAAGGGGAUUUUUUGAGCAGAUUUUUAGAGAGGAUUAAGGGAUCUUCUAGAGGCUUUUGUUUUUUAGAUUUAGAAUACAACUUAUAGAUAUAGAUACACAUUACACAUUCAUACACUAUUCAGAAAAUCUUUUUUCUUCUGAUCAAACUUUCUUUAAUAAUCAAUACAAGUUAAAGAUGGACUGAAUGUGCAUUUUCACUAGUUUCUUCUCAAAUUUCCUGAGUUCCUGGGUUUUUAAUUGUUGUGUGGCCGAUGUGUUUGCUUGCUACUCUCUUAACCUUACUCAUAGGUUCUUCUUUUUUCUACUGAAAUUCCAGGUAUCAAUCUUCACUCCAAAUCUGAGAAGUAAUAGCUAUGUACACUCGAGAUUAUAAGAUGAUAAUGAAGACAAUAAUAUUUUUAUGUAUCAAUUUCAUAUUGUGAGUGUUAUUUACUUUUCAGUAGCAUUUCUGGUGUUGUAAUAAAUAUGAAUGUAUAAUAAUAUUGGACUGUAUCAGGACUAUAGCCUUAAUCUGCCUAACUUUCAGUAGAUUUAUGAAUAGUUUAGUCCAAAAUUUACUUAGUGUUCGCAAUUUGUCUUGUAGUAUAGGCUCGAUAGGUGUAUAUAUGUAUACUCUGAAUGAUGAGUAUUUUGAUUCCUUUCCUUAGACGCUCGAUCAAAAUCUGAGUUAUAGCUUCUUAAUACAAAUUCUUU